Molecule: non-coding RNA, 927 nt
Organism: Pelobates cultripes (western spadefoot toad)
Lineage: Eukaryota; Metazoa; Chordata; Amphibia; Anura; Pelobatidae
Source: the annotation of a GenBank genome assembly
AUUAUGGUUAUAAUGGGACCCUGUAGGUCCAGCAGAGUAGUCCACAGGAGGGAGUCACCCUCAGUAUCUGUGUAUAGCAGGGCACUGUAAGAACAGCAGCUCAAUCAGUUGGUAGGGGUACCCUCUUUUAUGGGAAUACCCAGAUGCUGCAGGUCCAGCAGUGCAGACUGUAGGAGGGGUUCCCCCUCGGUAUGAUGAUAACAGGACAUUGCCGGAGCAUUAGUGUAGGAAGCAGGAGGGGGUCACCCUCAGCAUUAAUCCUACAGGAUGCCUUAGAGCCAGCCAGGGUACUCCUUGGUAGCCAUGUUGCCAGAGGGAGGGGGUCACCCAGCCCACAAUGGUGUCACACGUCCAUUAUUAUGGUCCAGUAGCGGCUAGAGCCCCAGAAAUAUGGACAGGGGGGGUCACCCCCCCGUAAUAACAGGGCUGUAUGUGGGGCCAGUUAGCCCCCCUGAGGGGUAGAAGGGUCAAUACAGCUAGAAGCUGACUCACAUCUACAGACCACUCAGGUAUUAUAUUAGGAUAUACUUUUGAAGUGUAUGUAUAGUGGAAAAAUUUAAGUCCCUUGCAGAAAGGGCAGCAAAUCCUAGGCAGGGGAGCUAGGUGCUGAAAAACAGACCAUUUACAUUUUUGAGAAAAUGACUGAACGUUAAGAGAAAGACUUGAUUAGCAUAUAUCACAUGUGGCAUAGUCUUGAUAAACAAUGAUUUUGUAAACAAUGAUUUUUUAUUUGAGCAGUAACAUGCCCCUUUAAAUCUGAGAUUCACAUUUAAUUAGUAAUAAAAGCAUGACAAGUCUACUGCUAAGAUAGAGAACAUAGUCACAUUGCAUCAGACAUCAUAGUAAGCUGCAGUUGUGGGCUGUGAGAGUGCCUGCUAUCCAGGAUCUGUUACAUAUGCAGCAUGUGAGACAGGCACAGUAAGUAGG